RNAcentral lists this long non-coding RNA (1388 nucleotides) under Anser brachyrhynchus (Pink-footed goose). Its description in RNAcentral is "lncRNA (ENSABRG00000013156.1)". Lineage: Eukaryota; Metazoa; Chordata; Aves; Anseriformes; Anatidae. The record is from RNAcentral.
AUACCAGUUUGAUACCCUAAAUUUUAACAACGCCUUGGGAGUUAAUGGGGAACACAGAAAGAUUUUGGGAGAACCCACGUGCUUCCGGAAAGAGAGGAUAAACAGAGGUUACGUGUAAUAAUGGAGAAAUCAAGAGGCAGGCAGGGAAAGGCAAAUAUUUACAGUUCUCCAUUGGUGCCACAGCUUUAGGGGCUGGCCCCCACAGGCUGAUGCAGCACCGCGCUGAUUUCUCCAGCCCAUUGCUAACUGCAGUUCUACGGCUGGUAUUAAUUGCUGGUUGUUGUGGUAAUACACGGAAAUUGCCUCAUCAGUUUCAUUAGUACCAAGGGUAGAAAUGGUUGGCCAGGUACCUGUAUUUGCUCCAGGAUCAAAUAAGAAAGCAAACUCUCAUCCAUUUAGCCUUUAAUUUUAAUGGUUAUUUAUAAUUAAGACAAAUGUUAACAGAGGAGGUAGAUAGAAACCUGUACCUACCGCAUUCAGGCCUUUGGGAAUCCUGGGUCCCAGAGACCAGGAGGAAAGGCCGGAGCAAAGAUGUACUCUUGGUGGAAGAGGACAGGGUCAGGGAAUACUGAAGUAAACUGGAAGUAACGAAAAACUGAACGUUUUUGACUGAAAGUUAAGGAAGUCCACGGGCCCUGAAGGGAUGCACCGUCUUUGACCAUUCGUGGUGACUGUGAGAAGUGCCUGAAGACCGUCACUCCUGUCUUCAAGGAGGACGACCCGGGGAACUACAGGCCGGUUGGACUACAGGCCCAGUGUAGGGCCACCAAGUGAUGAAGGGGCUGGGGCACCUCUUCCAUGAGGGGAGUCUGAGCGAGCUGGGGCUGUUCAGCCUGGAGAAGAGGGGGCACGGGGGGGGGAUUCAUUAGUCUGUAUAAAUCCCUGAAGGCAGGGUGCAAAGAGGACAGAGCCAGGCACUUUUCAGCAGCGCUCAGUGCCAGGACAAGAGGCAGUGGGCACAAGCUGGAACACGGGAGGUCCCAUCUAAACACCAGGAGCACUUCUGCGCUGUGCGGGCGUUGGAGCCCCGGCACAGGCCUCCCCCGGCCCCACCACCGCAGCGGGGACGGGGCAGACCCCGGGACGAGCCCCACCGAGCCCCGGCGGCCGCCGGGUGCCGCUGGCUCCCCGUGCCACCGCCCCGCCCCGGCGGCGGAGCGCAGGCGCCUUCCCCGGGCACGCCGCGGCCCGGCCCCGCUGCGGGACGCGGAAGCGGGCGGGCGGCGCUCGGCGGCCCGGCCCCGGAGCUCUGCCCCUCGCCCAGCUGCAGGGCCAAGCCCGGGAGGAGUGCCAUUUGUCCCCCAGCCGGGCCCAGCCGGGGCUGGGGGAACCCCGUCCCCCGUGCUGGCGGCGGGCGGAGGUGUGUCAGAGGUGAUGAUCUGCUCCCG